Molecule: ribosomal RNA, 253 nt
Filed under: uncultured bacterium
Lineage: Bacteria
Description: partial 16S ribosomal RNA
Rfam family: Bacterial small subunit ribosomal RNA
Source: RNAcentral
UACGGAGGGGGCUAGCGUUGUUCGGAAUUACUGGGCGUAAAGCGCACGUAGGCGGCCUUCUAAGUCAGACGUGAAAUCCCCCGGCUUAACCUGGGAACUGCGUCUGAUACUGGAGGGCUUGAGUAUGGGAGAGGGAUGUAGAAUUCCAGGUGUAGCGGUGAAAUGCGUAGAUAUCUGGAGGAAUACCGGUGGCGAAGGCGGCAUCCUGGACCAUUACUGACGCUGAGGCGCGAAAGCUAGGGGAGCGAACGGG